Molecule: ribosomal RNA, 253 nt
Filed under: uncultured bacterium
Lineage: Bacteria
Description: partial 16S ribosomal RNA
Rfam family: Bacterial small subunit ribosomal RNA
Source: RNAcentral
UACGGAGGGUGCAAGCGUUAUCCGGAUUCACUGGGUUUAAAGGGUGUGUAGGCGGGCUUUUAAGUCAGUGGUGAAAUCUCCAGGCUCAACCUGGAAACUGCCAUUGAUACUAUUGGUCUUGAAUUUUGUUGAGGUAGGCGGAAUAUAUCAUGUAGCGGUGAAAUGCUUAGAUAUGAUAUAGAACACCGAUUGCGAAGGCAGCUUACUAAACAAAUAUUGACGCUGAGGCACGAAAGCGUGGGGAUCAAACAGG